Molecule: ribosomal RNA, 550 nt
Filed under: Lithobates palustris (pickerel frog)
Lineage: Eukaryota; Metazoa; Chordata; Amphibia; Anura; Ranidae
Description: partial 16S ribosomal RNA
Rfam family: Bacterial large subunit ribosomal RNA
Source: RNAcentral
CGCCUCUUGAAAAAAUAUAAGAGGUCCAGCCUGCCCAGUGACUAAGUUCAACGGCCGCGGUACCCUAACCGUGCGAAGGUAGCAUAAUCACUUGUUCUUUAAAUGGGGACUUGUAUCAACGGCACCACGAAGGCUGCACUGUCUCCUUUCUCCAAUCAGUGAAACUGAUCUCCCCGUGAAGAAGCGGGGAUUAAACUAUAAGACGAGAAGACCCCAUGGAGCUUCAAACUCACCAUACAACUCUGUUCCCUACAUCCCCUGAUUCAAGAGAUAUGUAUGUUAGUUUUGGGUUGGGGGGACCUCGGAGUACAACUUAACCUCCUAAACAAAUAGGUUAACACCUUUAUCUACGAGAAACACCUCUAAGAAUUAUUAAACUAAUGUUUUUGAUCCGAUAAUCGAUCAAUGAACCAAGUUACCCUGGGGAUAACAGCGCAAUCUACUUCAAGAGUUCCUAUCGACAAGUAGGUUUACGACCUCGAUGUUGGAUCAGGGUAUCCGAGUGGUGCAACCGCUACUAAUGGUUCGUUUGUUCAACGAUUAAAACCCU